AAUCAUCAGAUAUUUUACCUCAUUCUAUGGAGGUGAGGAGCAAAAGAAAGACUUGGCUCUUACUAACCGUGGGGAGGGAGAAGGAGGAAGCAAAGGAAGAAAAAGAACAGCCUUAUCCUGGCAAGAAAACAAUGGAACAAGUUACAAUGCCUGUGGAUGGAUCAGAGU
This is a long non-coding RNA of Manacus vitellinus (golden-collared manakin), 168 nucleotides long. RefSeq lists it as uncharacterized. The transcript is spliced from 3 exons. NCBI's taxonomy places the organism in Eukaryota, Metazoa, Chordata, Aves, Passeriformes, Pipridae. The record is from RefSeq and is a predicted model, not a curated record.